This 305-nucleotide unclassified non-coding RNA is filed under the name plant metagenome. RNAcentral's name for it is "partial contains 5.8S ribosomal RNA, internal transcribed spacer 2, and large subunit ribosomal RNA". The stretch from base 1 to 105 matches the Rfam family "5.8S ribosomal RNA", at positions 50 to 154 of the family's 154-position model. The record is from RNAcentral.
GAAAUGCGAUAAGUAGUGUGAAUUGCAGAAUUCAGUGAAUCAUCGAAUCUUUGAACGCACAUUGCGCCCUUUGGUAUUCCUUAGGGCAUGCCUGUUCGAGCGUCAUCUAAACCUUCAAGCCCUGCUUGGUGUUGGGUGCCUGUCCCGCCUCCGCGCGCGGACUCACCUCAAAUCCAUUGGCGGCCCCCGCGUCGGCCACGAGCGCAGCAGAAACGCGAACUCGUGAGCCCGUCCGGGCGGCUCCCAGAAGCUACACCCACCCAGUUUGACCUCGGAUCAGGUAGGGAUACCCGCUGAAGUUAAGC